RNAcentral lists this long non-coding RNA (2116 nucleotides) under Podarcis lilfordi (Lilford's wall lizard). Lineage: Eukaryota; Metazoa; Chordata; Lepidosauria; Squamata; Lacertidae. The record is from RNAcentral.
UUCAGACAGUCAGAUUAUAGUAGGUAAAAUUAGCAUUUUUUUUCUUUACAAGCAUAGAAUUUUAUUACCUCUUUUAUACCAUCUGAUAUAAACAGUUCUAGAAAGCAAAUAAACUCACUUUCUAUAAUAAAUAGAGCCAUCUGUGCUUUACAGCAGACUGACAAGUCACGUUUAGGUCCCAUAGCAACAGCAGGAUAUUAGCCAAUUCAAAUCCUUAAAAUGUAAUUUUUAAAAAAUGAUAAAAGUAAAAUGCAAGAUCUUAAAACAGUUAUACAUAAGUCACAAGUCCACAGCUGAGCUACAACCUGGGAAAAGUGUAUGUUGCUUUAAAUUAAUUACACUGUGUGCAUACAAAAGACCCAGCAACACAACCGAGGACUUCAAGAAUGGUAACAAUCGGCCUGAAUAAUUUAGAAUAGUAUUUUACAACUAUGUACAGAAGUUCCUUCCACAGCCACACUCUUUAGGCAUUAUCAACUUUUUUUAAAAAAAAUCCUAUUCUUAUUCUUUAUAUGUCACAGAUAUUUUCCAUAAAGUGUGGUUUUAUGUCCCCAAUAUAUAAGAUGUGGUACUUUUAAAAAAGUAGACCACAUAGAAAUGGCAGUGAUUUCCCCCUUAUUAUUAACAUUUUGUUCCACAAUCUCUUUAGUAUGAAGAAAAAUUAAAAUAAUAAAAAAAUACUGAGUUAAAAAGAAAAGAAACAAUUAUAUUUUAAAAUUACAAUCUUGCUUUGCACCUUUGGUUUGUAACGCUUAAAAAGACAUAGAGAAAUCUAGACAAAUCAGAAUUCAAAUGUGAAAUGCUUUGUCAACUUGCAAACUUCAGCUUUCCCUGUUUAUCCAGCGCAUGCAAGUUAAAAGCUAGGAUUCUCGGUGGAGUUGCACACUUGACUUUAACGGAUUCCAGUAAUGAAGGUUCAUAGAGAAAGAAAUAUUUAUGGGGGAAGCUAAGGGUGAAACUGCAAUGUGUUCUGGUGAGCAAGAAAACAGACGCUGUUCCAAAUUCAACCCAAAACAAGAUGGGGGGGGGGGGAAUUUUGAGGGCAAAGGGGAACUGCAGUUUGACACUAAUGCCCUGACCCAAAGCUCCACACAGCAAUAUACACAUGGCACUCUAUGCAAGCAGGUACUGCACCAUUUAAAGGGGGAGAAAUCUCUGCACAUGCCACGAGGUGCACAAUGGCCACAUGGAAACCUGCUUCUGCAUACAGCCAGCCUCCUCUAUAGACAUCCAGCAAUCAUGCGGCUUUAUGGGUCAGGGUGAUGAUGUACAGAAGCGAAUGAGGCAGCUCUUACUCAGACAGAACUUCUGUACGCAGUGCCCCUAAAAUGGAGCUAUGUGUUGGAAGUUUUAAAACCAACAAAGUUCUGUUUUUGUCGUGUCCUAGUAAAUCUUAGUACUUAGUACAGCAUUGCUCCAGUGGAUUAGGUGCUUCCCAAAAGAAGAUUUAAAACACCGUUUUGCCCAGUUUCAAACAUGUUAUUAACCUGAAGUUGAAAUGUAAAAACUACUUCAUAAAUGUAAUCACACAAAACAUUUCACAAGUGAUUUCAUCUUCAUAUUUAAAGCUCUGUGCAUUUAAAUGUGCAUGAGGGAGGAGGAAAACCCACCAAAAUAUUAUCUCUAUCCUUCCUGUCAGUAAGAUCUAACAUAAAAACCUAUAUAAACCUAGGCAUGAGGCUUCUAGACUAGCCUUUAAAUGUAUAAAUGCAGUGGGGCAAACCAGUGCUUUUUAAAAUAACAUGAAAAAGUAUGUUGAAUAUUAAAUUUGGCACACAAGAGUCAUCUAAAGGAUAAAGGAUUAUUUAUAGCAGCGGCAGGCUCCAGAUAAUUCUUCGUUAGCUGAACUCGGGACUAGCUGAAGAAUGAAACACAAGAGACUCGUGAGACUUGCAGUCCAAUCGCCAAAUGAGUUCAGCUUUUCCCUUGCCCUAUAACCAAGGCCACGGCAGGACAGUGCAGCUGCUCCUGACAUCCUCUUCCUAGUCAGACUAUUACAUCACUUCAUUUCCUGCUGGCUCUUCAUUGAGACAGACUCAGAAAGAAUACAGACAGGCUUUAUGGCACAUAUCAGAUAACGUACUUUACAGCUGCUUUCCCUACUACUAGGAAUAGU